RNAcentral lists this ribosomal RNA (456 nucleotides) under Hydrovatus parvulus. RNAcentral describes it as "partial 16S ribosomal RNA". It matches the Rfam family "Bacterial large subunit ribosomal RNA", at positions 1806 to 2534 of the family's 2925-position model. The record is from RNAcentral. Lineage: Eukaryota; Metazoa; Arthropoda; Insecta; Coleoptera; Dytiscidae.
AACAAAAACAUGUCUUUUUGAUUAUAAUAUAAAGUUUAACCUGCCCAAUGAGAGAUUUAAUGGCCGCAGUAAAUUGACUGUGCAAAGGUAGCAUAAUCAUUAGUUUUUUAAUUAAAAGCUGGAAUGAAUGGUUGGACGAGAUAAAAUCUGUCUUAAAUUAAGUUUUUGAAUUUAAUUAUUUAGUAAAAAAGCUAAAAUAUUUAUAAAAGACGAGAAGACCCUAUAGAUCUUGAUAUUUUUGUAAUUAAAAUUACUUAGGAAGAUUUAAUAAUUUAGUUGUAAUAGUAUUUUAUUGGGGUAAUAAUAAGAUUUAGAUAAUUCUUUUUUAAAAAAACAUAGAUAUAUGAAUAGAAUAUGAUCCUUUAUAAAGAGAAUAAGAUUAAGUUACCUUAGGGAUAACAGCGUAAUUUUUUUAGAGAGUUCAUAUCGAUAAAAAAGUUUGCGACCUCGAUGUUG